Molecule: long non-coding RNA, 595 nt
Filed under: Glycine max (soybean)
Lineage: Eukaryota; Viridiplantae; Streptophyta; Magnoliopsida; Fabales; Fabaceae
Description: long non-coding RNA (GMAX_LNC002880)
Source: RNAcentral
UUUUUUUUUCCGGGGGGGGAGGAAAUUAAGACAAGGACAAACUUGGGUCGGCGAAUAAUCAGAAUAUGUUGUUGACAACUAGACAUCAAUCAAAGUAAAUCUCAUCUAUUAGCUAGGGUAUGGCUGAUACAAUUGUAGACAUUACUUUUUUUAUCAAAUUAAAUUAUUGCAAAGUGGUUAAUCUAAAUGCCGUGGUGGUUAUUGAAGAAGAGAAAAUGAUAUAUUAUUUUUCAAGAUAUCAAAAUAUUUCGUGGAACAAUAUUUAUUCUAUUGUUUUGGGAGAUGAGAGAAGAUGAGGAAUGCAGUAAACAUAUAAUAUAAAUGACUACAGAGAUAGUGAACAGAGAUGAGCGAGAACCACCAGAAGUCUAGAUAAGUCUGCUGUCCCUCUUGAACCUUUUCCCCCGUUGCCUGCGGGUAUGGUAAUACUCUGUAUAGUUACUACUAUAUGUAUUCGGUUUUGUAUCCAUUGAGAAAGCAGAAUUGUAUUUUAUUCACCAGUGAACUAGGCUACCGUUCUACUAGUUUCCUCCUUGUAAUGUCUAUUUCCAACAUUUUGAUAAAUAUAAGGAAGAGAAUUUUCUGUUCUUUCUUU